This 301-nucleotide ribosomal RNA is filed under the name uncultured bacterium. RNAcentral's name for it is "partial 16S ribosomal RNA". It matches the Rfam family "Bacterial small subunit ribosomal RNA", at positions 509 to 807 of the family's 1533-position model. The record is from RNAcentral.
CAGCCGCCACGGUAAUACGAAGGGUGCAAGCGUUAAUCGGAAUUACUGGGCGUAAAGCGUGCGUAGGCGGUUUGUUGAGUCUGUUGUGAAAUCCCCGGGCUCAACCUGGGAAUGGCAAUGGAUACUGGCAAGCUAGAGUGUGUCAGAGGGUGGUGGAAUUCCCGGUGUAGCGGUGAAAUGCGUAGAGAUCGGGAGGAACAUCAGUGGCGAAGGCGGCCAUCUGGGACAACACUGACGCUGAGGCACGAAAGCGUGGGGAGCAAACAGGAUUAGAUACCCCCGUAGUCCCUGUCUCUUAUAC